This is a long non-coding RNA of Mugil cephalus (flathead mullet), 221 nucleotides long. RefSeq lists it as uncharacterized. NCBI's taxonomy places the organism in Eukaryota, Metazoa, Chordata, Actinopteri, Mugiliformes, Mugilidae. The record is from RefSeq and is a predicted model, not a curated record. The transcript is spliced from 3 exons.
AAUAAAGUUAAUGGAGGUGAAGCACAGAAAGAAAAUAAAGUUAAUGGAGGUGAAGAUCAGAGAGAAAAUAAAGUUAAUGGAGGUGAAGCACAGAAAGGAAAUGAUCCUGAUGGAGGUGAAGCACAGAAAGAAAAUAAAGUUAAUGGAGGUGAAGCACAGAAAGAAAAUAAAGUUAAUGGAGGUGAAGAUCAGAGAGAAAAUAAAGUUAACGAAGGUGAAGA